GAUGAAGAACGUAGCGAAAUGCGAUAAGUAAUGUGAAUUGCAGAAUUCAGUGAAUCAUCGAAUCUUUGAACGCACAUUGCGCCCGCCAGUAUUCUGGCGGGCAUGCCUGUUCGAGCGUCAUUUCAACCAUCAAGCCCUGCUUGCGUUGGGGUCCUGCGGCUGCCCGCAGGCCCUGAAAACCAGUGGCGGGCUCGCUAGUCACACCGAGCGCAGUAAUACAUCUCGCUUUGGGCGUGCGGCGGGUUCUUGCCGUUAAACACCCCCUUUUUACCAAGGUUGACCUCGGAUCAGGUAGGAAUACCCGCUGAACUUAAGCAUAGCAAUAAGCGGAGGA
This 334-nucleotide unclassified non-coding RNA is filed under the name soil metagenome. RNAcentral describes it as "partial contains 5.8S ribosomal RNA, internal transcribed spacer 2, and large subunit ribosomal RNA". The stretch from base 1 to 120 matches the Rfam family "5.8S ribosomal RNA", at positions 35 to 154 of the family's 154-position model. The record is from RNAcentral.